GAUGAACGCUGGCGGCGUGCCUAAUACAUGCAAGUCGAGCGAACAGAUAAGGAGCUUGCUCCUUUGACGUUAGCGGCGGACGGGUGAGUAACACGUGGGUAACCUACCUAUAAGACUGGGAUAACUUCGGGAAACCGGAGCUAAUACCGGAUAAUAUUUCGAACCGCAUGGUUCGAUAGUGGAAGAUGGUUUUGCUAUCACUUAUAGAUGGACCCGCGCCGUAUUAGCUAGUUGGUAAGGUAACGGCUUACCAAGGCGACGAUACGCAGCCGACCUGAGAGGGUGAUCGGCCACACUGGAACUGAGACACGGUCCAGACUCCUACGGGAGGCAGCAGUAGGGAAUCUUCCGCAAUGGGCGAAAGCCUGACGGAGCAACGCCGCGUGAGUGAUGAAGGUCUUCGGAUCGUAAAACUCUGUUAUUAGGGAAGAACAUACGUGUAAGUAACUGUGCACGUCUUGACGGUACCUAAUCAGAAAGCCACGGCUAACUACGUG
Molecule: ribosomal RNA, 497 nt
Filed under: uncultured bacterium
Lineage: Bacteria
Description: partial 16S ribosomal RNA
Rfam family: Bacterial small subunit ribosomal RNA
Source: RNAcentral